AAAAGUUGCAAUGAAGGAAAAAAGUGUUUGGCCGAUAAAUAAGUGGUGAAAUUAAAAUACAUAUUUUUUGGUAACAUACAUAGGUUCCAAGAACGGUCGGGUCUGCGUCCCGGAGCCACUCGUCAAUCACGGCAACCAAGUGCCAUUCAACGGGUUACUUCAACAACAACGGGUUACCUAAUUUGUUGUUACUUAAGAAUAAGAUGCACAAGACACGGAAGUUUAUUUAAUAGAGUUUUACUGUGAAAGAAGAUUGUUCAUCACUUUUGGCAAUCAAUAUAGAACUGAAAACAAAUUUGUCUACUCAAAUAUUAUCGACUUCAAAAUGGAUAUCUGCGAAUGGUAACGUUAUUUACAACGAUAUAAUCAAUAUAUGGAGUUUAUGUGAUAUGCCGAUAAUGCAAUCACAUCCAAGCAGUUUUGGAGUGCUUACCCACUCGAUCUAUGCUGUAUUUAGUAAGAUAUACAUAUUGACGACAUAUAGAGAGCGGAAACA
Molecule: long non-coding RNA, 496 nt
Organism: Teleopsis dalmanni
Lineage: Eukaryota; Metazoa; Arthropoda; Insecta; Diptera; Diopsidae
Exons: 3
Source: RefSeq, a predicted model, not a curated record